UGUCCGUGAAUUUCAAUUGGAUGAAUCCUUGAAUACGAAUCAAGAGGCUGGGGGUUCGAAUCCCUCCAUGGACACCAA
Molecule: transfer RNA, 78 nt
Filed under: Pseudomonas phage Astolliot
Lineage: Duplodnaviria; Heunggongvirae; Uroviricota; Caudoviricetes; Vandenendeviridae
Description: tRNA-Arg
Rfam family: tRNA
About the family: Transfer RNA (tRNA) molecules are approximately 80 nucleotides in length. Their secondary structure includes four short double-helical elements and three loops (D, anti-codon, and T loops).
Source: RNAcentral